AACGAACGCUGGCGGCAUGCCUAACACAUGCAAGUCGAACGAGACCUUCGGGUCUAGUGGCGCACGGGUGCGUAACGCGUGGGAACCUGCCCUUAGGUUCGGAAUAACUCCCCGAAAGGGGUGCUAAUACCGGGUAAUGUCUUCGGACCAAAGAUUUAUCGCCUUUGGAUGGGCCCGCGUUGGAUUGGCUAGUUGGUAGGGUAAGAGCCUACCAAGGCGACGAUACAUAGCUGGUCUGAGAGGAUGAUCAGCCACACUGAGACUGAGACACGGCACAGAAUCCUACGGGAGGCAGCAGUGGGGAAUAUUGGACUAUGGGCGGAAGCAUGAUCCAGCAAGGCCGCGUGAGUGAUGAAGGCCUUAGGGUUGUAAAGCUCUUUUACCCGGGAUGAUAAUGACAGUACCGGGAGAAUAAGCACCGGCUAACUCCGUG
RNAcentral lists this ribosomal RNA (433 nucleotides) under uncultured bacterium. RNAcentral's name for it is "partial 16S ribosomal RNA". It matches the Rfam family "Bacterial small subunit ribosomal RNA", at positions 29 to 507 of the family's 1533-position model. The record is from RNAcentral.